UAGCUUGACACUGAACAUUGAGCCUUGAUGUGUAGGAUAGGUGGGAGGCUUUGAAGCGUGGACGCCAGUCUGCGUGGAGCCAUCCUUGAAAUACCACCCUUUAAUGUUUGAUGUUCUAACUCGGCCCCAUAAUCUGGGGUGAGGACAGUGUCUGGUGGGUAGUUUGACUGGGGCGGUCUCCUCCCAAAGAGUAACGGAGGAGCACGAAGGUUAGCUAAUCACGGUCGGACAUCGUGAGGUUAGUGCAAAGGCAUAAGCUAGCU
This 263-nucleotide ribosomal RNA is filed under the name Serratia marcescens. RNAcentral describes it as "partial 23S ribosomal RNA". It matches the Rfam family "Bacterial large subunit ribosomal RNA", at positions 2107 to 2369 of the family's 2925-position model. The record is from RNAcentral. Lineage: Bacteria; Pseudomonadati; Pseudomonadota; Gammaproteobacteria; Enterobacterales; Yersiniaceae.